Molecule: non-coding RNA, 154 nt
Filed under: Oryzias latipes (Japanese medaka)
Lineage: Eukaryota; Metazoa; Chordata; Actinopteri; Beloniformes; Adrianichthyidae
Description: Eukaryotic large subunit ribosomal RNA
Rfam family: Eukaryotic large subunit ribosomal RNA
Source: Rfam by way of RNAcentral
UGACUAUUGCAAUUAAGCGUUCAAAGCGACGUCGUUUUUAGAUCCUUUUGAUGUCGGCUCUUCCUAUCAUUGUGAAGCAAAAUUCAGCAAGCGCUGGAUUGUUCACCCACUAAUAGGGAACGUGAGCUGGGAUUAAACCGUCGUGAGACAGGUU